UCGUUUUCGACCCAUCUCGAACAAGGUCAAGUCAUUCUCCGAUUGCAAUAAGAGUUUAGAUUCAGAUUUAGCCCCAGAUUCAGAUUCAUCACUUGGGUUCCUGCCUGAUAGCUGGAAAUUGAAAGAGAUAUUUGCUUUUUGAUGGUGCAGAACAAGUACGGGGCAUCCAUGUUAUGUUGAUGGUGCAGAACAAAUUUGACAUUUUGAUAUUUCUGUUAUGCAACAAUCCAUUAAGUACGGGGCAACCAUGUUAUGCAACAUCAUAACAGAUUCAUCACUUGUCGUAAUAAUUUAUUUAUCUAAUUUUAUUUUUGAUGGUGCAGAAUAAAUUUGGUGCAAGAGCUAUCACGGUAGUUUCGAUUCCUUCUUAUCCUCUAUCAUAAUAACUAGUUAGAUCUAAAAUUAAUGAUUGUUUGAUAUAGUAUGAUUUUCUCAUGUACUUUUUUAUAAAUUAGGACUCAAAAGAAGGAUUCUGGAAUGGAACUUCCUUCCAUUUUGCUCGAUAAACGGGGUAAAUUUGAUUUUCAUGUUUUACAUUGGAGGUGAUGCAGUGGAAGUGGAAGGAGUGUGAGCAUUCUGCAGUGAAAAUGGCAUGGCCUUGGCUUGGUUUCAUGAGGUUAAGCAUAUUGAGCAAUUAGUAGAUCUAGGCUUUUGGAGAUGAAUGAUGAGUUUGAAUUAGAUGACGAAAAAGGAGAUGAACAAUUUCAACAUUUAACUAAUUUAAAUGUUAAAAUAAUCAUUUUUACUACAUUUAAUUUAUUAAUUUUCCAAAUAAAAAUGCAUGC
This 785-nucleotide long non-coding RNA is filed under the name Panax ginseng (ginseng). Its description in RNAcentral is "long non-coding RNA (PGIN_LNC015260)". The record is from RNAcentral. Lineage: Eukaryota; Viridiplantae; Streptophyta; Magnoliopsida; Apiales; Araliaceae.